This 72-nucleotide transfer RNA is filed under the name Camelus bactrianus (Bactrian camel). It matches the Rfam family "tRNA". From Rfam's summary of the family: Transfer RNA (tRNA) molecules are approximately 80 nucleotides in length. Their secondary structure includes four short double-helical elements and three loops (D, anti-codon, and T loops). Further hydrogen bonds mediate the characteristic L-shaped molecular structure. tRNAs have two regions of fundamental functional importance: the anti-codon, which is responsible for specific mRNA codon recognition, and the 3' end, to which the tRNAs corresponding amino acid is attached (by aminoacyl-tRNA synthetases). tRNAs cope with the degeneracy of the genetic code in two manners: having more than one tRNA (with a specific anti-codon) for a particular amino acid; and 'wobble' base-pairing, i.e. permitting non-standard base-pairing at the 3rd anti-codon position. Lineage: Eukaryota; Metazoa; Chordata; Mammalia; Artiodactyla; Camelidae. RNAcentral also lists the same sequence under 2 other names. The record is from Rfam by way of RNAcentral.
AAAGGUAUAGCUCAGUGGUAGAGUUCCUGCCUGGCAUGUGCAAGGUCCUGGGUUCAGUCCUCAGUGCCUCUA